Molecule: ribosomal RNA, 459 nt
Filed under: uncultured bacterium
Lineage: Bacteria
Description: partial 16S ribosomal RNA
Rfam family: Bacterial small subunit ribosomal RNA
Source: RNAcentral
CCUACGGGAGGCUGCAGUGAGGAAUAUUGGUCAAUGGCCGGAAGGCUGAACCAGCCAUGCCGCGUGAAGGUCAGUGCCCUAUGGGCGUUAAACUUCUUUUGUGCGGGAGCAAUAAUGGUCACGUGUGGCCAGACGAGAGUACCGUACGAAUAAGCAUCGGCUAACUCCGUGCCAGCAGCCGCGGUAAUACGGGGGAUGCAAGCGUUAUCCGGAUUUAUUGGGUUUAAAGGGUGCGUAGGCGGUAUGUCAAGUCAAGGGUGAAAUCCCCGCGCUCAACGUGGGAACUGCCUUUGAAACUGGCAAACUGGAGUGUGUGAGAGGAUAGUGGAAUUCCAGGUGUAGGAGUGAAAUCCGUAGAUAUCUGGAGGAACAUCAGUGGCGAAGGCGACUAUCUGGCACAUAACUGACGCUGAGGAGCGAAAGCGUGGGUAGCAAACAGGAUUAGAUACCCGAGUAGUC